UCCUGGUUGGUUCAGUUGGUAGAGCGCUCCAGUUUAAAUGGAGAUGUCCCUAGUUUGAUGCCAGGACCAGGCG
This 73-nucleotide transfer RNA is filed under the name Ixodes scapularis (black-legged tick). It matches the Rfam family "tRNA". Rfam says of the family: Transfer RNA (tRNA) molecules are approximately 80 nucleotides in length. Their secondary structure includes four short double-helical elements and three loops (D, anti-codon, and T loops). Lineage: Eukaryota; Metazoa; Arthropoda; Arachnida; Ixodida; Ixodidae. The record is from Rfam by way of RNAcentral.